RNAcentral lists this ribosomal RNA (468 nucleotides) under uncultured bacterium. RNAcentral's name for it is "partial 16S ribosomal RNA". It matches the Rfam family "Bacterial small subunit ribosomal RNA", at positions 28 to 507 of the family's 1533-position model. The record is from RNAcentral.
GACGAACGCUGGCGGCGUGCUUAACACAUGCAAGUCGAACGGAAAGGCCCUGCUUUUGUGGGGUGCUCGAGUGGCGAACGGGUGAGUAACACGUGAGUAACCUGCCCUUGACUUUGGGAUAACUUCAGGAAACUGGGGCUAAUACCGGAUAGGAGCUCCUGCUGCAUGGUGGGUGUUGGAAAGUUUCGGCGGUUGGGGAUGGACUCGCGGCUUAUCAGCUUGUUGGUGGGGUAGUGGCUUACCAAGGCUUUGACGGGUAGCCGGCCUGAGAGGGUGACCGGCCACAUUGGGACUGAGAUACGGCCCAGACUCCUACGGGAGGCAGCAGUGGGGAAUAUUGCACAAUGGGCGGAAGCCUGAUGCAGCAACGCCGCGUGCGGGAUGACGGCCUUCGGGUUGUAAACCGAUUUCGCCUGUGACGAAGCGUGAGUGACGGUAAUGGGUAAAGAAGCACCGGCUAACUACGUG